AAAGUGCAACACGGGAGUCCCGGGUUCGUGGGGCUGAGAGGGGCGCGCGCCGCGCCCGACCGUCUGACCUGACCCGGAUCAUGCCGGCGCAGGAAGUGGAGGUGGUUCUCGU
RNAcentral lists this non-coding RNA (112 nucleotides) under Rhodococcus triatomae. RNAcentral's name for it is "TPP sequence". It matches the Rfam family "TPP riboswitch aptamer (THI element)". From Rfam's summary of the family: Vitamin B(1) in its active form thiamin pyrophosphate (TPP) is an essential coenzyme that is synthesised by coupling of pyrimidine and thiazole moieties in bacteria. The previously detected thiamin-regulatory element, thi box was extended, resulting in a new, highly conserved RNA secondary structure, the THI element, which is widely distributed in eubacteria and also occurs in some archaea. Analysis of operon structures identified a large number of new candidate thiamin-regulated genes, mostly transporters, in various prokaryotic organisms. Lineage: Bacteria; Bacillati; Actinomycetota; Actinomycetes; Mycobacteriales; Nocardiaceae. The record is from Rfam by way of RNAcentral.